Molecule: ribosomal RNA, 497 nt
Filed under: uncultured bacterium
Lineage: Bacteria
Description: partial 16S ribosomal RNA
Rfam family: Bacterial small subunit ribosomal RNA
Source: RNAcentral
GAUGAACGCUGGCGGCGUGCCUAAUACAUGCAAGUCGAGCGAACAGACGAGGAGCUUGCUCCUCUGACGUUGGCGGCGGACGGGUGAGUAACACGUGGAUAACCUACCUAUAAGACUGGGAUAACUUCGGGAAACCGGAGCUAAUACCGGAUAAUAUAUUGAACCGCAUGGUUCAAUAGUGAAAGACGGUUUUGCUGUCACUUAUAGAUGGAUCCGCGCCGCAUUAGCUAGUUGGUAAGGUAACGGCUUACCAAGGCAACGAUGCGUAGCCGACCUGAGAGGGUGAUCGGCCACACUGGAACUGAGACACGGUCCAGAGUCCUACGGGAGGCAGCAGUAGGGAAUCUUCCGCAAUGGGCGAAAGCCUGACGGAGCAACGCCGCGUGAGUGAUGAAGGUCUUCGGAUCGUAAAACUCUGUUAUUAGGGAAGAACAAAUGUGUAAGUAACUAUGCGCGUCUUGACGGUACCUAAUCAGAAAGCCACGGCUAACUACGUG